RNAcentral lists this transfer RNA (70 nucleotides) under Malacocottus zonurus (darkfin sculpin). RNAcentral describes it as "tRNA-Ile". It matches the Rfam family "tRNA". From Rfam's summary of the family: Transfer RNA (tRNA) molecules are approximately 80 nucleotides in length. Their secondary structure includes four short double-helical elements and three loops (D, anti-codon, and T loops). Further hydrogen bonds mediate the characteristic L-shaped molecular structure. tRNAs have two regions of fundamental functional importance: the anti-codon, which is responsible for specific mRNA codon recognition, and the 3' end, to which the tRNAs corresponding amino acid is attached (by aminoacyl-tRNA synthetases). tRNAs cope with the degeneracy of the genetic code in two manners: having more than one tRNA (with a specific anti-codon) for a particular amino acid; and 'wobble' base-pairing, i.e. permitting non-standard base-pairing at the 3rd anti-codon position. Lineage: Eukaryota; Metazoa; Chordata; Actinopteri; Perciformes; Psychrolutidae. The record is from RNAcentral.
GGAGUUGUGCCUGAAGUAAAGGACCACUUUGAUAGAGUGACCCACGGGGGUUAAAGUCCCCUCAACUCCU